RNAcentral lists this ribosomal RNA (492 nucleotides) under uncultured bacterium. Its description in RNAcentral is "partial 16S ribosomal RNA". It matches the Rfam family "Bacterial small subunit ribosomal RNA", at positions 29 to 507 of the family's 1533-position model. The record is from RNAcentral.
AGUGAACGCUGGCGGUAGGCCUAACACAUGCAAGUCGAACGGCAGCACAGUAAGAGCUUGCUCUUACGGGUGGCGAGUGGCGGACGGGUGAGGAAUACAUCGAAAUCUACUUUUUCGUGGGGGAUAACGCAGGGAAACUUACGCUAAUACCGCAUACGACCUACGGGUGAAAGCAGGGGAUCUUCGGACCUUGCGCGAUUGAAUGAGCCGAUGUCGGAUUAGCUAGUUGGCGGGGUAAAGGCCCACCAAGGCGACGAUCCGUAGCUGGUCUGAGAGGAUGAUCAGCCACACUGGAACUGAGACACGGUCCAGACUCCUACGGGAGGCAGCAGUGGGGAAUAUUGGACAAAGGGCGCAAGCCUGAUCCAGCCAUACCGCGUGGGUGAAGAAGGCCUUCGGGUUGUAAAGCCCUUUUGUUGGGAAAGAAAAGCAGCAGGUUAAUACCCCGCUGUUCUGACGGUACCCAAAGAAUAAGCACCGGCUAACUUCGUG